Molecule: RNA transcript, 2641 nt
Organism: Cyprinodon tularosa
Lineage: Eukaryota; Metazoa; Chordata; Actinopteri; Cyprinodontiformes; Cyprinodontidae
Gene: klhl3
Gene name: kelch-like family member 3
Exons: 16
Source: RefSeq, a predicted model, not a curated record
ACAAGCUCUGCCUGAAAAGCAACAGCUGUGUUGCCAGAGUGACCCCUCUCGCUAAUAGACGAGCUGCGCUGGAUGCUCGGGCAGCGCUCUCAUGCCUGCUGUGCGCUCUGACUCCGGGAGGAUGGACGGUGUGUCGUUAGGACACUGCCUCUCAUGUCUUACCAGUCUGGUGGCCCCACCGGCCUCGCCACGUCCAAACUGCCCCACGGAUUCAGAGGAGGACACGGUGAACGGAGGGAUUCACACGUUCAACCAGACACACAUGAGGAAAGCCUUCCAGCUGAUGAACGAUCUGAGGAGUAAAAAGAUGCUGUGUGACGUACAGCUGGUGGCGGGUAGCGUUGAAGUUCCAGCCCACCGGGUGGUCCUGGCAUCCUGUAGCCCUUACUUCUGUGCCAUGUUCACAGGUGACAUGAGCGAGAGCAAAGCCCACCAGGUGGAGAUCAGGGAGGUGGACGGCCAGACUCUGAGGAAACUGGUGGACUAUAUUUACACAGCUGAGAUAGAGGUUACAGAGGAUAAUGUCCAGGUUCUCCUGCCAGCAGCCAGCCUCCUACAGCUGAUGGACGUUCGUCAGGUCUGCUGUGAGUUCCUGCAGUCACAGCUUCAUCCCACCAACUGUCUGGGCAUCCGAGCCUUUGCUGACCUGCACACCUGCACGCAGCUUCUCAGCCAGGCCCAUGCGUACGCUGAGCAGCAUUUCUCUGAGGUGGUGCAGGGCGAGGAGUUCCUGGGUCUGUCUCUACAGCAGGUGUCCAGCCUGAUCUCCAGUGACCAACUCACAGUCUCCACCGAGGAAAAGGUGUUUGAGGCGAUGAUAUCUUGGAUCAAAUACGACAAACCGACUCGUCUGGAGUACAUGCCCAAACUGAUGGAGCACGUAAGACUCCCACUGCUGUCCAGGGAUUACCUCGUCAAGAUUGUUGAGGAAGAAGCCUUAAUAAAGAACAACAACACCUGCAAAGACUUUCUCAUCGAAGCAAUGAAGUAUCACCUGCUGCCGGCCGACCAGCGCCACCUCAUCAAGACGGACCGAACACGACCACGGACUCCUGUCAGCAUCCCCAAGGUGAUGAUUGUGGUGGGGGGUCAGGCUCCUAAAGCCAUCCGCGGCGUGGAGUGUUACGACUUCCAGGAAGAUCGCUGGUACCAGGUUGCUGAUCUGCCUUCCAGACGCUGCCGGGCAGGCGUGGUUUCCAUGGCGGGCCGAGUGUACGCGGUGGGCGGGUUCAACAGUUCGCUGCGGGAGCGGACCGUAGACGUUUACGACGGAGCGAGGGACCAGUGGAGCGCCGCGGCAAGCAUGCAGGAGAGACGCAGCACACUGGGAGCAGCUGUUCUGGGAGACCUGCUGUACGCUGUGGGAGGCUUUAAUGGAAGUAUAGGUCUGUCGACUGUUGAAGUUUACAAUCAAAAAACCAACGAGUGGACGUACGUGACCUCUAUGAACACCCGACGCAGCAGCGUGGGUGUCGGCGUAGUCGAUGGUAAACUGUACGCAGUGGGAGGUUACGACGGCGCUUCACGUCAGUGUCUCAGCACAGUGGAAGAAUACGACCCCGUCUCAGAUCAGUGGUGCUAUGUGGCUGAUAUGAGCACACGGAGAAGUGGAGCAGGUGUGGGGGUCCUGGGCGGACUGCUCUACGCAGCAGGAGGACAUGAUGGUCCUCUGGUGAGGAAGAGCGUGGAGGUGUACGACCCCCAGAGCAACGUGUGGAGGCUGGUCAGCGACAUGAACAUGUGUCGCAGAAAUGCAGGUGUUUGUGCCAUAAACGGGCUGCUGUAUGUGAUCGGAGGAGAUGAUGGUUCCUGUAACCUCUCCUCUGUGGAGUUUUAUAAUCCGGUCACCGAUAAAUGGAGCCUUAUUCCCACCAACAUGAGCAACGGCCGCAGCUAUGCCGGGGUCGCAGUGAUCGACAAGCCGCUAUGACCCCGGCUCGUCCCACAGCAGAGUCCGAUUCACAGAGACCCUAACUGAUGAUUCCACUGAGAGCCUCCAUGUUUAGCAAACCUGCUGCUGGUCAGAACAGUUUCUAUUGGAGUUCAGGGACAUUUGAAGAAACUGUUGCUCUGGGUGAGAACCCCGCAGGCCCGGUACCAUGGGUUCAGAAGAACUUCCAGUCAGACGUUUUCAAAUGCAAAACAGAUCAGCAGCCAGGAAUACACUGCACAGAAAAAACAAACUGACAUAAAUGCACUAAACAGAGACGGUUCUUCACUUGAACAGUGGUUCUGUUCAUCUGCGUUCCGUUUCUGACCUUGGCAACAGACCAGCAGACUCUGGAAACUGGCAAUAAUCUGUGGGAUUUGCUAAUCUUACCAUAAAUGGAGGAAAAUCAGCUCAUGGUGACGAUUUGUCGGUGAAAUCAGAACCAAUCAGUGUUUGACUGGUGCAGCUGGUUCUUAUGUCCGACUCGCUUCAGCUGUCCGCAGUAUUAGUCCUCAGCCUGAACGUCUGAAACCCGGAAAGCUGCAAUAUAAAGAAUAUAAGCUGGUGGGACUUACCAGAAAACACUACUGAUGUUCUGAUUCUGUGCACUGAACGCAAACCUCUGCGCGUCUCUUCCAACCUGCCAACAAGCUGCUUCACCUUCACAUUUUAGAGGCCAUAAACUCAUGACAAACUUUGUGGGACGUGCCA